Molecule: long non-coding RNA, 1953 nt
Organism: Stegodyphus dumicola
Lineage: Eukaryota; Metazoa; Arthropoda; Arachnida; Araneae; Eresidae
Source: RefSeq, a predicted model, not a curated record
GGCGUCCAAAAAAAAAAAAAAAAAAAAAAAAAAAAAACUAGCAGGGUUGGUCGCCAAAAAAUCGCCAAGUUACCAUAAUCCGAAGAUUAACCGAGAGAUGUCUUUAAACAGAAAUUUUUAAGGGGAAUUGACUCCUAUUGCAUUAUGCAGAUAUAGAAAAUUUAUGUUUGGUUGAUUAUAUCAAAGCACAAUAGGGCUGUCUGCCUGAGGAGAGGAAUGCCAUUGUGGAGGUGGUUCUAAAAGAAACUGGCUGGUAUGCACAUUACACAUGGGGGCAACCACGAAAACACCCAUGCAUCCAGCCCAUUUUUCUGGAAUUUAAUCCAGGUCGGAACUGCCAGAGUUGAACAAUUUUACUGCACAACUGUUGGUGGGCUAUACAUUUAGAAAACAAUGAGUCGUGCAUAAUGUAUUGAAUUAUUAUGUAGUAUACUUUAUCUGUUUGGUUAUUCUGCAUUCAUUUGAAUGAACUGCAAAUGGUAUUAAAUACAUCUGUUGCUUAUUUUAAGAUGUGGUGAGAGCAGUGAUAAGAGUAUGAUUUCAUAAAUUAUCUCAUAUGAUAAUUUUCAUGUCAUAAUGUGAUAAUUUGUUAUUUGUGUUUCUAAUUUUUCUCAUUUUUACAGAAACAAAAUAUGUACAGUCUAUAUAUCUGUUCUCAGUUUCUUAAUUUCUUUCUUCCCCAAACUAAAAUUUCAUCUGAGAGGCCAUUAUUAUGAAAGUGUGGAUGAUAUCUUGAAAGUCAUGAUGGACCAGUUGAAGGUGAUCAUACAUGAUGAUUUUCAAUUUUGUUUCAAUUGAAGUUGCAUCUUCAGUAGAGUGUAAGAAACUGUUUCAGAUAUGAUGUGAUAUGGAUUUAUUUCUCUAGGAACAUGGAAAAUGACUGUGAACCACCAGUUUAUUACAAUACAUAUACUGGAACUAGAAUGCAGACAUAUAUGAUGGAUGAAAAAUAUGUAUGUAUGGUAUGUGGGAAAAUGUUCUCUAUGAAGGGCAAUUUAAGUGUUCAUAUGCUUAUACACACAGGAGAACGCCCUCAUCAGUGUGAAUCCUGUCUGAAAGUAUUUAGACAUAGAAAUUCUCUUAAUCGUCAUAAAAGAACUCGACACAGAAGAAUGCUUAUUGGCAAUACUUUGAGUGUUACAUCAUCUUAAUUUGUAAAGUUACAUGUGUGACAGUUAGAAGAUUUUCUUAACAGCAUUACAUCCUUUAGAACAGCAUUGUUCUCACUUCUGCUCAAAUAAGAUUAAGGAUUAUAGAAAAAAACAGAAUAUUUUUAAUAACUUCUGAACAGACCAGUAAUCCACUUGAAUACUUAAAUCAAAUGCAGGUUUUUCAACUCUUUCCAUUCCUUAUCCCCAGGAAAAGAAUUUUCUCAGGAAAUGGAUAACCAUAUAUUUGACUGUAAAAUGUGUUCUUAUGCUACAAAUAAUCGAGGUAAUCUUAGACGACACAUUCGCAUUCAUACAGGAGAGCGUCCAUUCCACUGUCAUUACUGCAGUGCAAAGUUUUCACAAAAAGAGCAUGUGAAGAGGCAUAUCAUUACUAAGCAUGGACAAAAUUUAUUACUUUUGAUAUUUCAACUCUGGAUCUGUCCUAUCUUCUGUAUUGGAAUCAUGUCAUAAGAAAAUGACCAAACAUAUUGUGUCUUGUGAAUUCUGCCAUUAUGUUGCAGAUAGACGUAACAUUAAAAGACACCUGCGCACUCAUACCGGAGAGCGUCCGUUCAGCUGUUAUCAUUGCAAUUCAAGGUUUUCACAAAAGGUACAUUUAACUAAACAUAUUGCGUGCAAGCAUAAAGAACUUUACCUUAAAUACUUUUAAAAAAAAAUUAACCUAUCAAAAAUAAAUGCUGAUUUAACUAUCUUCAACAUCAGCAUAUUAAUUUUUAAGUGUUUAAAUAUAUAUAUAUGAAUUGUAUUUUGCUGUAUAAUAAAAUUACAAUAUAUGCAAAAA